RNAcentral lists this unclassified non-coding RNA (517 nucleotides) under uncultured Glomus. RNAcentral's name for it is "SSU rRNA". It matches the Rfam family "Eukaryotic small subunit ribosomal RNA", at positions 569 to 1089 of the family's 1831-position model. The record is from RNAcentral. Lineage: Eukaryota; Fungi; Glomeromycota; Glomeromycetes; Glomerales; Glomeraceae.
AGCAGCCGCGGUAAUUCCAGCUCCAAUAGCGUAUAUUAAAGUUGUUGCAGUUAAAAAGCUCGUAGUUGAAUUUCGAGAUCAAAUUGUUGGUCGUGCCUUGGUACGCACUGGCACUAUUGGUUUCUCCCUUCUGACGAACCAUGAUGUCAUUAAUUUGGUGUCUUGGGGAAUCAGGACUGUUACUUUGAAAAAUUAGAGUGUUUAAAGCAGGCUCACGCUUGAAUACAUUAGCAUGGAAUAAUGAAAUAGGACGUUUGAUUCUAUUUUGUUGGUUUCUAGGAUCGACGUAAUGAUUAAUAGGGAUAGUUGGGGGCAUUAGUAUUCAAUUGUCAGAGGUGAAAUUCUUGGAUUUAUUGAAGACUAACUACUGCGAAAGCAUUUGCCAAGGGUGUUUUCAUUAAUCAAGAACGAAAGUUAGGGGAUCGAAGACGAUCAGAUACCGUCGUAGUCUUAACCAUAAACUAUGCCGACUAGGAAUCGGAUGAUGUUAAUUUUUUAAUGACUCAUUCGGCGUCCG